Molecule: long non-coding RNA, 286 nt
Organism: Apis florea (little honeybee)
Lineage: Eukaryota; Metazoa; Arthropoda; Insecta; Hymenoptera; Apidae
Source: RefSeq, a predicted model, not a curated record
AGAUUUAGCGCGUCAUUAACAACAACAAUAACAAUAUUUAUUAUUAUGGAAAAAAGUUAUGUUACAAAAUAAUGAGUAAUAAUAAUAAUAAUAAUUAAAUAAUAAUUAUUAAUAAUAGCAUUAGCUACCGGUUUAAACCGGUCACUAAGGCCACGUGGUCGACUGUCCUAGGUAGGGUUAAGAUUAGGUGACGUAGAAUUAUCAGUAACAACACGGUAAUACGUCGAUAUUAAAAUGAGAAGAAAGAAUUAGAAGAUCAUAUUUCAAAUAUGUAAUUUUGUUUGAA